ACAAUGGCAGGUACAGAGGGGUGCUACCGGGUGACCGGAUGCCGAUCUCGAAAACCUGUCCCAGUUCGGACUGGAGUCUGCAACCCGACUCCACGAAGUUGGAUUCGCUAGUAAUCGCGCAUCAGCCAUGGCGCGGUGAAUACGUUCCCGGGCCUUGUACACACCGCCCGUCAAGCCAUGGGAGCCGGGGGCGCCUGAAGUCCGGGACCGCGAGGACCGGCCUAAGGCGAAACUGGUGACUGGGGCUAAGUCGUAACAAGGUAAC
This 265-nucleotide ribosomal RNA is filed under the name uncultured bacterium. RNAcentral's name for it is "partial 16S ribosomal RNA". It matches the Rfam family "Bacterial small subunit ribosomal RNA", at positions 1227 to 1500 of the family's 1533-position model. The record is from RNAcentral.